This 206-nucleotide long non-coding RNA is filed under the name Hordeum vulgare. RNAcentral describes it as "long non-coding RNA (HVUL_LNC011854)". The record is from RNAcentral. Lineage: Eukaryota; Viridiplantae; Streptophyta; Magnoliopsida; Poales; Poaceae.
AUCUCAUCUCCAAACCCUAGUUCAUCUCUCGUAACCAAUCUCCGUCUCGCGACUUCGAUUGGUACUUGUAAGGUUGCUAGUAGUGUUAAUUAUUCUUUGUAGUUGAUGCUAGUUGGAUUACUUGGUGGAAGAGUUUAUGUUCAGAUCUUUUAUGCUACUCAUUACCACUAUGGUCAUGAAUACGAUUAUGCUUUGUGAGUAGUUAC